This is a long non-coding RNA of Zingiber officinale, 81 nucleotides long. RefSeq lists it as uncharacterized. NCBI's taxonomy places the organism in Eukaryota, Viridiplantae, Streptophyta, Magnoliopsida, Zingiberales, Zingiberaceae. The record is from RefSeq and is a predicted model, not a curated record. The transcript has 3 exons.
GAAACUUAUACGCAGGAGGAGUUCGAGGAACUAUGCUUCAAAUUCGGCAUCGAGCUCGAUGAUGUUACUACGGAGAAAGCC